Long non-coding RNA from Pelmatolapia mariae (spotted tilapia), 302 nucleotides. RefSeq lists it as uncharacterized. NCBI's taxonomy places the organism in Eukaryota, Metazoa, Chordata, Actinopteri, Cichliformes, Cichlidae. The record is from RefSeq and is a predicted model, not a curated record. The transcript has 3 exons.
UUUGACUCAGGUGUUAGAAGAUAGUCCAGUCGUUGUUUGUUUUCUGUUGUUUUUUGCAAGCGAAAGGGAAGUUUGGACAUGAAAGUGCUCAGCGGGUAGAAAAAGCACUAGAAUCUGUUCUCCCAGCGUGCGGCAUCAUGAAGCCGUUACUGCGCUUCAGCGUCCCUCUGUGGACUCUUCUGGUCUUCAGCGCCUUCCUCAAGAGCUCCCAAGCACAAAAUAUCUCAAAUUGUGCAACAGAAACAUUAAAUAUAACAACCACCACAACAACAGCAAAUGUCAACUUUCAACUUGACCCAAAC